GUUGUAUAGUCAAGUAAUUAAGUGCAUGUGGUGGAUGCCUUGGCAGUCAGAGGCGAUGAAAGACGUGAUAGCCUGCGAAAAGCUCCGGGGAGGCGGCAAAUAUCCUUUGAUCCGGAGAUGUCUGAAUGGGGGAACCCACCUACUUUAAGGUAGGUAUUGCAACAUGAAUACAUAGUGUUGCAAGGCGAACGAGGGGAAGUGAAACAUCUCAGUACCCUUAGGAAAAGAAAUCAAUUGAGAUUCCCUCAGUAGCGGCGAGCGAACGGGGAUCAGCCCAUUAAGUUAUGUGUGUUUUAGUGGAACGCUCUGGGAAGUGCGAACGUAGAGGGUGAUAUUCCCGUACACGAAAGGGCACACAUAAUGAUGACGAGUAGGGCGAGGCACGUGAAACCUUGUCUGAAUAUGGGGGGACCAUCCUCCAAGGCUAAAUACUCCUGACUGACCGAUAGUGAACCAGUACCGUGAGGGAAAGGCGAAAAGAACCCCUGUGAGGGGAGUGAAAUAGAUCCUGAAACCGCAUGCAUACAAGCAGUGGGAGCACCUUCGUGGUGUGACUGCGUACCUUUUGUAUAAUGGGUCAGCGACUUAUAUUCAGUAGCAAGGUUAACCGUAUAGGGGAGCCGUAGAGAAAUCGAGUCUUAAUAGGGCGUUUAGUUGCUGGGUAUAGACCCGAAACCAGGCGAUCUAU
Molecule: ribosomal RNA, 688 nt
Filed under: Acinetobacter baumannii
Lineage: Bacteria; Pseudomonadati; Pseudomonadota; Gammaproteobacteria; Moraxellales; Moraxellaceae
Description: partial 23S ribosomal RNA
Rfam family: Bacterial large subunit ribosomal RNA
Source: RNAcentral